RNAcentral lists this ribosomal RNA (856 nucleotides) under Aliidiomarina maris. Its description in RNAcentral is "bacterial SSU rRNA". It matches the Rfam family "Bacterial small subunit ribosomal RNA", at positions 27 to 874 of the family's 1533-position model. Lineage: Bacteria; Pseudomonadati; Pseudomonadota; Gammaproteobacteria; Alteromonadales; Idiomarinaceae. The record is from RNAcentral.
GAUUGAAUGCUGGCGGCAGGCCUAACACAUGCAAGUCGAGCGGUAACAUUUCUAGCUUGCUAGAAGAUGACGAGCGGCGGACGGGUGAGUAAUACUUGGGGAUCUGCCUGAUGGAGGGGGACAACCACUGGAAACGGUGGCUAAUACCGCAUGACGCCUACGGGCCAAAGUGUGGGACCUUCGGGCCACACGCCAUCAGAUGAACCCAAGCGAGAUUAGCUAGUUGGUGAGGUAACGGCUCACCAAGGCGACGAUCUCUAGCUGGUCUGAGAGGAUGAUCAGCCACACUGGGACUGAGACACGGCCCAGACUCCUACGGGAGGCAGCAGUGGGGAAUAUUGGACAAUGGGCGCAAGCCUGAUCCAGCCAUGCCGCGUGUGUGAAGAAGGCCUUAGGGUUGUAAAGCACUUUCAGUGGUGAGGAAGGCGUUGUAGUUAAUAGCUGCAACGAUUGACGUUAGCCACAGAAGAAGCACCGGCUAACUCCGUGCCAGCAGCCGCGGUAAUACGGAGGGUGCGAGCGUUAAUCGGAAUUACUGGGCGUAAAGCGCACGUAGGCGGCUUGUUAAGCAAGAUGUGAAAGCCCAGGGCUCAACCUUGGAAUUGCAUUUUGAACUGGCAAGCUAGAGUUUUGAAGAGGGUGGUAGAAUUUCCAGUGUAGCGGUGAAAUGCGUAGAUAUUGGAAGGAAUACCAGUGGCGAAGGCGGCCACCUGGUCAAAAACUGACGCUGAGGAGCGAAAGCGUGGGGAGCAAACAGGAUUAGAUACCCUGGUAGUCCACGCCGUAAACGAUGUCGACUAGUUGUUCGUGUCUUUAAGAUGUGAGUAACGCAGCUAACGCACUAAGUCGACCGCCU